AUUAAGUCACUAAGUCCUGUUUGACUCUCUGUGACCCCAUGGACUGUAGCCCUCCAGGCUGCUCUGUCCAUGGGAUUCUCCAGACAAGAAUACUGGAGUAGGUUGCCAUGCCCUUCUCCAGGGGAUCUUCCUGACCCAGAGAUCAAAUCCAUGGUUCCUGCAUUGCAGGCAGAUACUUUACCACUUACCAAAUGCCAUUGUUGCUGUGGUUAUGUUCCCUGUAACACUGCUGUUGAGUUCAUUCUAUAGGAGGUAAAUCCUGGCAAUAGACUUGUGCUCUUACAGUGUCCUGGCCGUACCCUGUUCCCUGUUGCUGUGAGACAUCCUUACUAACAGGAUGGUAGGUUGGUCUGGUGAAGACUCUUCUGGUGCCGCCUGAAUGGAUCGCUCGGUGGAGCUCAGGAAAAUAUAUGCUUAUGAAGAAAAAAAAUCCCUCAAAUUACACAGAAAAAUAGUUGUGUUCUUUUGAUAAGAGUACAUCAUGAGAAACGCUGGGCUGGAAGAAGCACAAGCUGGAAUCAAGAUUGCCAG
This is a long non-coding RNA of Bos taurus (domestic cattle), 531 nucleotides long. The record is from Ensembl. NCBI's taxonomy places the organism in Eukaryota, Metazoa, Chordata, Mammalia, Artiodactyla, Bovidae.